Molecule: non-coding RNA, 1427 nt
Organism: Oncorhynchus mykiss (rainbow trout)
Lineage: Eukaryota; Metazoa; Chordata; Actinopteri; Salmoniformes; Salmonidae
Source: RefSeq, a predicted model, not a curated record
UACAAUUGCUGCAGAGAACAAACACCCAACUGAGUGGAAAACGUGGUUACAAUUCACAAAUAUUUGUAUCAUCACUUUCAACAACUAAGCAGAUGCUCCUAUCCAGAGAGACAGUUAUUACCUCCAUUUUAAGAUGACUUUUGGGGAAACAACCACAUAUCACAGACAAAUUCCCUUGAAGCUGUCCUCAGACAACCCUCAACCAUCAUCACCUCUGGAUGUUCUACCACCACCAGACCUGCAGUAAUUCAGCUGACCUCUCCCUCUCUAGCACACAACUAAGAUCUGCAACGUCUGGUGAACCAUCUAAGAGGAAGACAAUUAACAAAGUCAGAUAUGGCAACUGCUGGAAACAGACGUAGCAAGGAAAUUGGCCAUGAUAUGUCAAAUGAACUAGGAAACCUCAAGCAUGACAUCAAGUCAUUCAAGGAACGCUUUGAAGGAAAGAGACCAUCUUUACAAGAAAGAGCAAAUUACUUUGAACAGAAAGCUGCUGAUAUUAAGAAAGUGCAGGACGAUGCUGCCAAAGGCAGGAAUGUUGGGGCUGGAAUGGGGGUAGCUGGGGCAGUCACCAGCGUGGUGGGUAUAGGUCUAGCUUUACACACUGGGGGUCUCUCCUUGCCCAUUGUAGGGGCAAUCUUGACUACAUUUGGUGGAGCUACUGUUGUUGUGUCGAACGUCGUCAAGAUGUUGUUUGAGAACAAUGGCCAAGAGAAAAUUAAGAACAAUGCAGAAGAAUUCAAUAAAAGUAUUCAACCAAUUGUUGAAUGCCUGGAAAAAAUCCAAACAAAUAUUCAAACAUUAGAGGAACUGUCCUCCUCCACAUCCACGGUAACUACAGGUCUGAGUACAGCAGCAGAGGUAACCAGACUGCUGAAGAAAGUGGCUGAACUGAGCAAACACAUUAGGCUUGGUGCAGUACGAUUGGAAGGGGUGUUACUUGACAUCGUCCGUCUUCUUAACAUGAUCGUGGCCAUCAUCCAGGUCCGUAGGGACGAGGCUCUUGAAAAGGAGUUCUUUGAUAAGAUCAUAGAAUCAGCUGAACUGUGUCGGAAGACUAUGAUUGACUUUGAAACGUUGACAGAAGAAUUCAACAAGGUGUCAGAUUUCUUACAACAUUUCUGAAAACAGUCAGGUGGUACACUGUGCCCUGAUAGAUCUGAGACUGAAGAAAACGGCUCUGUUUUAUCAAUGCUGUGAUGCAUAACAAGUCUGGAUAAGCUGUACAGAUGGUCAAACCUCUACUUUAACUUGGACAAGUCCUCCAUAGUGUACAUCAUUUGUCAAUUCAAUGUCAUGUAUUUUUUAUUUUGGGGGAGAUGACUUCCAUGUCUUUUCUCUUUGACAUUGUUGUUAAAUUAAUUGCAGUGUAUGUUUUUUUGUUGUUGCAACUAUUGACAAAUCUAAAAUAAAUAUUGUUCUACAAA